UUGUCUGUAGAAAGGAGAGACGGUUGGCAUCUCCCUUGGUAGGGAUGGGAACGGCCUUUGGGCUUACCUGUUACCGACACAUGUGGUUAAGGCUAUUCUCUUUCAGCGGAUCUUACCUAUUCUCUUU
Malania oleifera is the source of this 127-nucleotide small nuclear RNA. The record is from RefSeq and is a predicted model, not a curated record. Lineage: Eukaryota; Viridiplantae; Streptophyta; Magnoliopsida; Santalales; Ximeniaceae.